UGGGGAAUAUUGCACAAUGGGCGCAAGCCUGAUGCAGCAACGCCGCGUGAACGAUGAAGGUCUUCGGAUCGUAAAGUUCUGUUGCAGGGGAAGAUAAUGACGGUACCCUGUGAGGAAGCCCCGGCUAACUACGUGCCAGCAGCCGCGGUAAUACGUAGGGGGCUAGCGUUAUCCGGAUUUACUGGGCGUAAAGGGUGCGUAGGUGGUCUUUCAAGUCGGUGGUUAAAGGCUACGGCUCAACCGUAGUUAGCCUCCGAAACUGGAAGACUUGAGUGCAGGGGAGGAAAGUGGAAUUCCCAGUGUAGCGGUGAAAUGCGUAGAUAUUGGGAGGAACACCAGUAGCGAAGGCGGCUUUCUGGACUGCAACUGACACUGAGGCACGAAAGCGUGGGUAGCAAACAGG
This 403-nucleotide ribosomal RNA is filed under the name Verrucomicrobiota bacterium. Its description in RNAcentral is "Verrucomicrobia bacterium partial 16S ribosomal RNA". It matches the Rfam family "Bacterial small subunit ribosomal RNA", at positions 355 to 776 of the family's 1533-position model. Lineage: Bacteria; Pseudomonadati; Verrucomicrobiota. The record is from RNAcentral.